This 253-nucleotide ribosomal RNA is filed under the name uncultured bacterium. Its description in RNAcentral is "partial 16S ribosomal RNA". It matches the Rfam family "Bacterial small subunit ribosomal RNA", at positions 524 to 776 of the family's 1533-position model. The record is from RNAcentral.
GACGAACCGUGCGAACGUUGUUCGGAAUCACUGGGCUUAAAGGGCGCGUAGGCGGGGUGGACAGUCUAUGGUGAAAUCCUCCGGCUCAACCGGAGAACGGCCGUGGAUACUGCCACCCUCGAGGGGUGUAGGGGCAUGCGGAACUUCGGGUGGAGCGGUGAAAUGCGUAGAUAUCCGAAGGAACGCCGGUGGCGAAAGCGGCGUGCUGGACACCUUCUGACGCUGAGGCGCGAAAGCCAGGGGAGCAAACGGG